GUUACCGUCCUGGAGGUACGUCGUUGCUCGUCGUUCGCGGCAGGACGGGUUAUCCGUCAACGUAAACCUGACACGUACGAUCCACGAAGAUACUUCAAGUCGCGCGAUCGUUCUCGUUCGCGGCGCGAACCUGCGAAUAUCACGUCGGCACCUCCCAGCACAUCGCGCCGAACACGUCGCCAGUGUCACUGGAUGCUCCAAUCUUGCGGCGAGGAUCGAGGCUGCGGGAGCGAGCAACGAUGCCCAACGGAGCGAAUUUGGGGUAUAUCUGCGUAAAUGAUCUCGUGAAGCAUGCGAGAGUCAAUUGUGCGGGGAAGAAGCCACGCAGCGUGUACUAGAGGCUUCCCACACUGCGCCAGAAGUCCGAGAUGGCGAAGAAGAACAGUAACGACAAGCCUUCCUUCCGCGGGGCUCUCGGACCCGCGGGCCUCCUACCCUUCCUCCCGCGGGGCUCUCGGACCCGCGGGCCUCCUUCCCUUCCUCCCGCCGGGGCUCUCGGACCCGCGGGCCUCCUUCCCUUCCUCCCGCGGGGCUCUCGGACCCGCGGGCCCCUUCCCUUCCUCCCGCCGGGGCUCUCGGACCCGCGGGCCUCCUACCCUUCCCUUCUUCCGCGGGGCUCUCGGACCCGCGGGCCUCCUACCCUUCCCUUCCCUUCUCCCGCCGGGGCUCUUGGACUUGCGGGCCUCCUUCCCUUCCUCCCGCGGGGCUCUCGGACCCGCGGGCCCCUUCCCUUCCUCCCGCCGGGGCUCUCGGACCCGCGGGCCUCCUACCCUUCCCUUCCCUUCUCCCGCCGGGGCUCUCGGACUUGCGGGCCUCCUUCCCUUCCUCCCGCGGGGCUCUCGGACCCGCGCGGGCCUCCUUCCCUUCCUCCCGCCGGGGCUCUCGGACCCGCGGGUCUCCUACCCUUCCAUCCUCGGGCGCGGUUUUAGUGUCACCGACUCGGCAGCAUGACCCACCCGUGGGGCAUUCUGCCGGGUCUCGACAGGGAUGCACGGCAUUUUGGACGAGCGCAGUCCGGGUGGGCGGGGGUGGCCUGCCACCAGGCUGAACCUCCUGGGGGCAGGGGACGUAGGUCGUACAAAAUCACCCUUUUUAGCCGGGAGCGUAGAACCGGCGGAGAGUCCUGACGUAAUGCGCCUUUAGUUCCAGGACUCUUUGUGAGCGGUUUGGUUGGUGGGAUAAAUAAAAAACACUUACUUUUAAAACUAAUUUUUCGUACUAAUGAAAAAUUUGUUUCAUUUAUUGAACAUUUUAAUCACUUUUAUAUUUCAUAAGCUUUCUAAUAUUGUUAUAAUAUUUAUAAUUAUAUAUUAUAUAAUAAGCUUUCUCGAGUCGCUGUUGAGUUGUAUUCGAAAGUCCAUCUCGUCGUUGAACAAUACUAUUUAUUGAAAAU
Ooceraea biroi (clonal raider ant) is the source of this 1393-nucleotide long non-coding RNA. RefSeq lists it as uncharacterized. Lineage: Eukaryota; Metazoa; Arthropoda; Insecta; Hymenoptera; Formicidae. The record is from RefSeq and is a predicted model, not a curated record.